CUGUGGGUGGCGAGUGGCGGACGGGUGAGUAAUGCAUCGGGACCUACCCAGACGUGGGGGAUAACGUAGGGAAACUUACGCUAAUACCGCAUACGUCCUACGGGAGAAAGCGGGGGAUCGCAAGACCUCGCGCGGUUGGAUGGACCGAUGUGCGAUUAGCUAGUUGGUAAGGUAACGGCUUACCAAGGCGACGAUCGCUAGCUGGUCUGAGAGGAUGAUCAGCCACACUGGGACUGAGACACGGCCCAGACUCCUACGGGAGGCAGCAGUGGGGAAUAUUGGACAAUGGGCGCAAGCCUGAUCCAGCAAUGCCGCGUGUGUGAAGAAGGCCCU
RNAcentral lists this ribosomal RNA (333 nucleotides) under uncultured Rhodanobacter sp. Its description in RNAcentral is "bacterial SSU rRNA". It matches the Rfam family "Bacterial small subunit ribosomal RNA", at positions 82 to 418 of the family's 1533-position model. The record is from RNAcentral. Lineage: Bacteria; Pseudomonadati; Pseudomonadota; Gammaproteobacteria; Lysobacterales; Rhodanobacteraceae.